Molecule: transfer RNA, 66 nt
Filed under: Crenuchus spilurus (sailfin tetra)
Lineage: Eukaryota; Metazoa; Chordata; Actinopteri; Characiformes; Crenuchidae
Description: tRNA-Cys
Rfam family: tRNA
About the family: Transfer RNA (tRNA) molecules are approximately 80 nucleotides in length.
Source: RNAcentral
AGCUCCGAGGUGUACGGCACAUAAGAUUGCAAAUCUUAAAGCGCAGGAUAGGACCUGCCGGGGCUU